CCCUUUGUGACAUACCUAUAACUGUUGCUUCGGCGGGUAGGGUCUCCGUGACCCUCCCGGCCUCCCGCCCCCGGGCGGGUCGGCGCCCGCCGGAGGAUAACCAAACUCUGAUUUAACGACGUUUCUUCUGAGUGGUACAAGCAAAUAAUCAAAACUUUUAACAACGGAUCUCUUGGUUCUGGCAUCGAUGAAGAACGCAGCGAAAUGCGAUAAGUAAUGUGAAUUGCAGAAUUCAGUGAAUCAUCGAAUCUUUGAACGCACAUUGCGCCCGCCAGCAUUCUGGCGGGCAUGCCUGUUCGAGCGUCAUUUCAACCCUCAAGCUCUGCUUGGUGUUGGGGCCCUACAGCUGAUGUAGGCCCUCAAAGGUAGUGGCGGACCCUCCCGGAGCCUCCUUUGCGUAGUAACUUUACGUCUCGCACUGGGAUCCGGAGGGACUCUUGCCGUAAAACCCCCAAUUUUCCAAAGGUUGACCUCGGAUCAGGUAGGAAUACCCGCUGAACUUAAGCAUAUCAA
This 513-nucleotide ribosomal RNA is filed under the name Colletotrichum sp. GZAAS5.09538. RNAcentral's name for it is "eukaryotic LSU rRNA". The stretch from base 153 to 306 matches the Rfam family "5.8S ribosomal RNA". Lineage: Eukaryota; Fungi; Ascomycota; Sordariomycetes; Glomerellales; Glomerellaceae. The record is from RNAcentral.